AUGAAUUGCAUCAUGUUAUUCCUAGAAGUCAUGGAUGAUGCAAUCAUAACGAAGCUUACAUCACUCUGCAGAACAAAUUGCCCUAUAUCAGCUCUAGAAAUCAUACAGUGUCGUGCUCUUUUAUUUGUCAGUGUUUGAUUUUGCAAAGGGACACAUUUCUGUUUAGCCAAAGUGAGCAGAGAUGCCUCGUACUUGUGUGAACAGUGCAGAUAACUUCUACUAUGUUUGUGGUGAAGUGACUUUUGCAUCACAAAAGUGCAGUAUAACCACUAUGGUUAAGAAAGCCUAUCACCUUUAUUUUGGCUGCAAAAUUGGAGAUCAGGACAAGAGGUGGGCCCCACACAUAUGCUGCAACACUUGUGCAACAAAUCUUCGCCAGUGGUUGAACAGGAAAAGGAAAUCUAUGCCUUUUGCAGUGCCAAUGAUUUGGAGAGAGCCAACAGAUCAUACCAGCAAUUAUUACUUCUGCAUGGUGCCUCCAGUUGGGAAAGAUGUGUCAAAGAAGAAAAAGUGGACCGUGCAUUAUCCAAACAUUCCAUCAGCUAUACGCCCAGUACCCCAUGGAGAAGGACUGCCGGUUCCUGAUGCACCAGAAUCAUUCUCACUUGAGUCAGAUGAGGAAGAGGAAGAGGAUGAAACUUCUGGUCCUGAACCAUCAAUGUCACAGGACCCACAUUUUCUCCCAUCCUCCUCCUCUGAACCACACCUCAUAACACAAGGUGAACUGAAUGAUCUUGUCAGGGAUUUGGAACUACCCAAGAGUAAGGCAGAGCUGUUGGGCUCCAGACUACAGCAGUGGAAUCUCCUGGCAGGUGAUGUUAGGGUUUCCAUGUUCCGUGACCGUCAAAAGGAUCUUGUCCCAUUCUUCUUCAUAGAAGGUGCUCUUGUAGCCUGCAACAACAUCGAUGGUGUGAUGGCAGCCCUCAACAUCGUUCACAAUCCAGAUGAGUGGAGACUGUUCAUUGAUUCAUCGAAGAUGAGUCUUAAAGCUGUUUUACUGCAUAAUGGCAAUGUUUUGCCAUCAAUUCCAGUUGGUCAGGCAGUCCAUAUGAAGGAAACCUAUGACAACAUGAAACAACUUUUGAGGUGCAUAAACUAUGACCAACAUCAGUGGCAGCUUUGUGGCGAUUUGAAGGUUGUUGCUCUCUUGCUUGGUCUGCAGACUGGAUACACAAAGUACGCUGUUUUCUCUGCGAAUGGGAUAGUCAUGCAAGAGAUUCCCACUACAUCAAGAAAGAUUGGCCACUCCGACAGUCAUUGGAGCCUGGGAGGAAAAGUGUUCAGCAUCCACCACUUGUUGAAUCAAGGAAGAUUUUGUUACCACCCUUACACAUCAAGCUGGGUCUGAUGAAGAAUUUUGUCAAGGCCAUUGACAAAACACAAGCAGCUUUCAAGUACCUCCGUGGAAAAUUUCCAAGGUUAAAUGAAGCUAAAAUAAAGGAAGGUGUCUUUGUUGGUCCCCA
RNAcentral lists this long non-coding RNA (1463 nucleotides) under Chrysemys picta bellii (western painted turtle). RNAcentral's name for it is "lncRNA (ENSCPBG00000001560.1)". The record is from RNAcentral. Lineage: Eukaryota; Metazoa; Chordata; Testudines; Emydidae.